UUGCCCUAGUAACGGCGAGUGAAGCGGCAACAGCUCAAAUUUGAAAUCUGGCCCUCGGGUCCGAGUUGUAAUUUGUAGAGGAUGCUUUUGGCGCGGUGCCUUCCGAGUUCCCUGGAACGGGACGCCUUAGAGGGUGAGAGCCCCGUACGGUUGGACACCAAGCCUCUGUAAAGCUCCUUCGACGAGUCGAGUAGUUUGGGAAUGCUGCUCUAAAUGGGAGGUAAAUUUCUUCUAAAGCUAAAUAUUGGCCAGAGACCGAUAGCGCACAAGUAGAGUGAUCGAAAGAUGAAAAGCACUUUGAAAAGAGGGUUAAACAGCACGUGAAAUUGUUGAAAGGGAAGCGUUUGCGACCAGACCUCGCCCCGGCGGAUCAUCCGGCGUUCUCGCCGGUGCACUCCGCCGGGCUGAGGCCAGCAUCGGUUUCCGCGGGGGGACAAAAGCGGGGGGAACGUAGCUCCCUCGGGAGUGUUAUAGCCCUCCGCAUAAUACCCUCGCGGGGACCGAGGACCGCGCUUCGGCAAGGAUGCUGGCGUAAUGGUCGUCAACGACCCGU
RNAcentral lists this ribosomal RNA (553 nucleotides) under Rosellinia sp. 11Cl51. RNAcentral describes it as "eukaryotic LSU rRNA". It matches the Rfam family "Eukaryotic large subunit ribosomal RNA", at positions 75 to 652 of the family's 3401-position model. Lineage: Eukaryota; Fungi; Ascomycota; Sordariomycetes; Xylariales; Xylariaceae. The record is from RNAcentral.